UACGGAGGAUGCAAGCGUUAUCCGGAUUUAUUGGGCGUAAAGCGUCCGUAGGUGGUUAUUCAAGUCUGCUGUCAAAGCGCGAGGCUUAACUUCGUAAAGGCAGUGGAAACUGGAUGACUUGAGAAUGAUAGGGGCAGAGGGAAUUCCCAGUGUAGCGGUGAAAUGCGUAGAGAUUGGGAAGAACACCGGUGGCGAAAGCGCUCUGCUGGGUCAUAUCUGACACUGAGGGACGAAAGCUAGGGGAGCGAAAGGG
Molecule: ribosomal RNA, 253 nt
Filed under: uncultured Leptolyngbya sp.
Lineage: Bacteria; Bacillati; Cyanobacteriota; Cyanophyceae; Leptolyngbyales; Leptolyngbyaceae
Description: partial 16S ribosomal RNA
Rfam family: Bacterial small subunit ribosomal RNA
Source: RNAcentral